UCAGAGGAUGUGGUUUUUAGUACGAGAGGGCAAGGGGAAGAGAGAGGGGGAGGAAGGGAGGAGUCUGUUCUCUCUCUCUGUCUCUCUGUCUCUCGCAGGAACCAGAACAGAUGAAUGACAGGUGAGUGGAGGGAGAGGGAGGGAGAGAGGACUGCGGUUAGGAUCCAGUUGUUAUUUUAACUUGUGUCUUGCGAGGAUGUUCUGUGUGUUGGAGACGAUGCUUUGAUGAGAGAGAAAGCCAGGGAUGAUGGAGAGAGAUGAGACUGAAGGCUACACUCGGACUUCCUGGUCUGAUGUACAGAGGGCUACCCACUCCACCAGCCCCCCAGACCAUGCAGGAAAAAAGAGGAAGCAGGAUCCUGGUUCUGAGAGCGUCGUCAGAACCACAGAGGACCGAGAUGACGAGGAUGAUGAUGAUGACGACGACGAUAUGAUGUCAGACCUGAUGAAGGACUCUGAGG
RNAcentral lists this long non-coding RNA (461 nucleotides) under Salmo salar (Atlantic salmon). Its description in RNAcentral is "lncRNA (ENSSSAG00000109691.1)". Lineage: Eukaryota; Metazoa; Chordata; Actinopteri; Salmoniformes; Salmonidae. The record is from RNAcentral.